CCUACGGGAUGCUGCAGUGGGGAAUAUUGGACAAUGGGCGAAAGCCUGAUCCAGCCAUGCCGCGUGUGUGAAGAAGGCCUUCGGGUUGUAAAGCACUUUCAGUGGGGAAGAAAGCCUUGGGGCUAAUACCCUCGAGGAAGGACAUCACCCACAGAAGAAGCACCGGCUAACUCCGUGCCAGCAGCCGCGGUAAUACGGAGGGUGCGAGCGUUAAUCGGAAUUACUGGGCGUAAAGCGCGCGUAGGCGGUCUGAUAAGCCGGUUGUGAAAGCCCCGGGCUCAACCUGGGAACGGCAUCCGGAACUGUCAGGCUAGAGGGCAGGAGAGGAAGGUAGAAUUCCCGGUGUAGCGGUGAAAUGCGUAGAGAUCGGGAGGAAUACCAGUGGCGAAGGCGGCCUUCUGGACUGACACUGACGCUGAGGUGCGAAAGCGUGGGUAGCAAACAGGAUUAGAUACCCUGGUAGUC
RNAcentral lists this ribosomal RNA (465 nucleotides) under Vreelandella stevensii. RNAcentral's name for it is "partial 16S ribosomal RNA". It matches the Rfam family "Bacterial small subunit ribosomal RNA", at positions 338 to 795 of the family's 1533-position model. The record is from RNAcentral. Lineage: Bacteria; Pseudomonadati; Pseudomonadota; Gammaproteobacteria; Oceanospirillales; Halomonadaceae.